Molecule: ribosomal RNA, 468 nt
Filed under: uncultured bacterium
Lineage: Bacteria
Description: partial 16S ribosomal RNA
Rfam family: Bacterial small subunit ribosomal RNA
Source: RNAcentral
GACGAACGCUGGCGGCGUGCUUAACACAUGCAAGUCGAACGGAAAGGCCCUGCUUUUGUGGGGUGCUCGAGUGGCGAUCGGGUGAGUAACACGUGAGUAACCUGCCCUUGACUUUGGGAUAACUUCAGGAAACUGGGGCUAAUACAGGAUAGGAGCUCCUGCUGCAUGGUGGGGGUUGGAAAGUUUCGGCGGUAGGGGAUGGACUCGCGGCUUAUCAGCUUGUUGGUGGGGUAGUGGCUUACCAAGGCUUUGACGGGUAGCCGGCCUGAGAGGGUGACCGGCCUCCAGGCGACUACGGUACGGCGCAGACUCCUACGUGGGGCAGCAGUGGGGAGUCUUGCACAAUGGGCGGAAGCCGGAUGCAGCAACGCCGCGUGCGUGAUGACGUCCUUCGGGUUGUAAACCGCUUUCGCCUGUUACGAAGCGGGAGUGACGGUAAUGAGUAAAUAAGCACCGGCUAACUACGUG